GCGCAGCAUAUCAUGCGCAAAAACAAUAAUAUCAGAGGUUCCGACUAAAGCGACCCUUCUGUACAUUUCAUAUUCAGUGCUUAAAUGAGAUGUCACAGUAAACACACCAUUGCAAAUGAUCAGAGCUCAACGCAAAACGUAAAAAAAAAAAGGGAAUUUUACGACUUUAUUCUGUUUCAUCUUUGUUUCAGUUGCAGCUGACAAGUAAGAGGAAAGCUUUGACCAUGAAAGUCUUCCACGUUGGGUUGUAUCUAAUGAUUUUUCUUGCAAUUGUCAACAUGGAACGAAACAAGCGCUUAAAGAGAAGAACGACAAAUUCAUUAUUGGAAAAGACAAAAAAAGAGAAUUUAAAUGGUAAAUUGUGUGGGGUUAUACAUGGAGAUAUGAUCUUUUGUAAAGGCUCACAAAAAUGCUGUCCUGUACGCAAAGCUGGCGCUCUUGUAAAUUAUUAUUGUUGUCCUUGGCUAAAUGGAAAAUGUUGCAGUAGCGGAAGUUGCUGUCCCCAGGAUUUUGGUUGUCUAAUUUUCCAUAUUUGUUCACUGAUUUCUGUAUAACAGGACGGGGUAUAUGUUGGGCUUUGGGUAUAUGAAAUUUAAUUGCCAUUUAAUUUUAUACAAUUAAGUCAAUAAAAAUAGCUUUCUAAAUAGUA
This is a long non-coding RNA of Xenia sp. Carnegie-2017, 649 nucleotides long. RefSeq lists it as uncharacterized. The record is from RefSeq and is a predicted model, not a curated record. The transcript has 3 exons. NCBI's taxonomy places the organism in Eukaryota, Metazoa, Cnidaria, Anthozoa, Malacalcyonacea, Xeniidae.